UAGGCACACUCAGACUUUUAAAAGUCAUAUGCCCACUUCUCUGACUGGUGACCAGUUUAGAGGGCAUAGGCAUAUGGUAAGCAAGGCCACAGCUAGAGAAAAUCUGACAAGUCAAGCCAAGCUGGUCUAGGUAUUUCUCAGUGUUCAGUUUUUAUCUUUUCUAGUCUGGCCUUCUUCCUAGGCACCUCCAGACUCCUAAUACCUUUCUCACACUUCUGUGCAUUGCAGAAUUUUCCCGUUAGAGUUUCUCAGAACACCUUUCUAUGAUGUCUUCUUUCCCAGAACUUUCAGGCAUUUUCAAAUCUAUUCCCCAAGCAUCAUUCCCCCACUGCUGGCUAACUAGUCAGUUAAAGAAAAUAAUCAGGGCCGUGGGGAUAAUGGUUAGUAAUAACCUAAUCUUUUUCAUAUAAUAGGGACUCUUCAGGGACUUCACCCCAAGAAUCUGUUGGGGCCAGAGGUAAAGGAGCUUCUGGGGUUUGUGUAAGAAUGUUAUAUUUAAGACCAGAUCUGGAUGAAGAACUUAAUUUGACAUAUGUCAGAGUUUUCUUCAGUUCAAGCCAAUGUAGUAAAUAUUAAUUAAAUGUGACUCCAUGACAGAGGUUGAAGUUUUUUUCACUCUCCUAUAAGUGCCAGUUCAGUUCUCAGGACAGUUCAAACAAAUAUAGGAUUCAUUACUGGGAAAGGUUUCUGCACUCAACUGCUGCUUCUUUUCCAAGUCUGGUAACCUGGGGAAUAUAAUCUAAAUAGAAACCCAAGGUCUUCAUUACUUCUCUCUGCCUUAAACCCACAGCAAAUCCCCAGACAUCAAUCUCCUGCUUCUCAUCCUCCAGACUCCACAUGGCCCCUCUUAGAGCUCCAGAUUCGCAAGUGCCUUCUAAAGGAAAGUGACCCUGAUGUCAAACAAGAGAGAAAAGGAGAGAACACGGAGAUGAGAAAGUAGUACAGUUACUCAUAUCAGUGAAACCUCAGUUUGUGCUCUUCAGGCCCUCAACUGAUUGAAGAAGGCCCACCUAUACAACCAAAGGUAUGGCAAAGAACAACAUGAACUCAGAUCAUACUGCUUCAUGUCUCCAUGCUCUUGUACAAGCUGUAACCACCCUCUGCAAUGCACCCUCUCAUGUUGUCCACUUCUUCCUUGAAUAUAUUUCCUAUUCACUUAGAUUAUACCCUUUUAGUAAGGCAUGGGUCAUGGCACUGAAAGAAAUUGGAAGAUUCAAGAGCUAUUCAGGAGGGAGAUCAAUGGGACUUUGUGACUGAUGGCUUUUGAAAAUGAGAAAGGGAAAGACAAUGUGAAACAACAGCCAGGUGCCUACCUUGAACAAGGUGACUGGUGGAGUUAUUCACAGAUGAAUGGGAUCAAUAGAUUAAUAGAUCUGGCAGAGAAGCUGUUCAUUUCUGUUUGGACGCACUGAGUUUGAGUUGUCUAUGAGUCAUGGUGAAAAUAUAUACAGGAAAGAUAGUGCUCAGGACAGAGAUCUGAACAAAGUGUACAGAUCUGGGAUGCGUCCUAUAUAAACAACAGUUGAAGCCAUGGGAAUGGAAGGAGUCACAUGGAAUUACAUGGAGAAGACCAGGGGCAGAAUCCUGGAAAAACAUCAUAAUUUGAAGAAAGAGGCAGAAAGAAGUUCCUCGGAAGGAGAUGAGAAUAAAUUAUCAAAGAAGUUAGAAGGAGAAUCAGGAGAAUGUUGUGUCACAAAAUAAAAGCAACCAGUCAGUAUUAGAUGGAGCAGAGAAGUCAAAAAAGAUGAGGUUCAAAAUGCCAUCCAUUGACAUUAACAAUAAGAUCAUUGGUCAUCCUGAAAUGAAUAUUUUCAGUAAAUGGGGUAGAAGCCAGAGCCUGGGUGGCUCAGUCAGUUAAGCAUCCAACUUCAGCUCAGGUCAUGAUCUCACGGUUCGUGGGUUCAAGCCCCACGUCAGGUUCUGUGCUGACAGCUCAGAGCCUGGAGCCUGCUUCUGAUUCUGUGUCUCCCUCUUUCUUUUCCCUUCCCCCCGUCUCAAAAAUAAACAAACAUUUAAAAAAUUCAAAAAAAAAAAGAAGACUGGAUAGGACUUCAAGUGGAAGCAGCAAGUGAAGAUAAAUCUUGCACUGACUGUUUUCAUCUUUUCUGAGUAAGUAAUGAGAGAGAUUAUUAGAUUCUAACAGUCUGGAUCCAGUCAUAAGACUGAGACCACACGAGAUUUAAACUGGGGAAGUUUAAUACAAGGAAUUAUUAAACUAUAAUAAAAGAGUAACUUUAGGGUAUAAGAUUACUCUUUAUGGAAUCCUAGGACAGAAGGAGAUGGACAAACUUGGAAGGCAGCCCUCUCCCCAAGGCCAUGGUUCAAAUCUCAUUGGAGAAAUAUGUAUUUGAACCUAGUGAAUGGCAGAGAAGUUUGCUGAUUUGCUGGCCAGAGCUGAUCUGCAGUCACAGGAGAAACAGGAAUGAACCCUCUGGCAUGCAGUGAUGGCUGGUGAGCCACAGCUGGUGGCCAGUGCAUGGGUGUUCAGUAGCAGUGGGACACCAGGCCUCCUGAAGCCCAGGUAGAGGCCUGAUGUCCCUGUGGGGGGGAAUGUGAGGUUGGGAGGAGCACAGCAUGGGGAGGACAAUGGGCAUCACACCUAAGGAGGGGGUUGAGUGCAAACAAUCAGAGAGCCAAUACCAACAAGAGCCUCCUGUAUAGCCUGUACAGGAUAUCUGUAUAGAGGGGGCAGUAGGAAGAUGAUCAUUGGGCUGUGCUGGGGCUGCAAUGUCCCUGAGGGCCAGUGCCUGCUGGGUGAGUGCCUAGGGCCAAAUACCACCAGAUGUCCUCACACCCACACUGCUCAUCCACCGCUCUACAGCCAGAAACCUCAAGAGAGCCCCUUCCUCCUGCAGUGUCCCUCCAGCGUGCUCUACCGAGAAAGCUUAACAUCAUGCUCACUUAACAGAGAAAUGCUUAAAGCAAUUCCAUCCAUUAUCACAGAGUAUAUAUUUGAAGGGUGGAUUUGGA
Molecule: long non-coding RNA, 2970 nt
Organism: Neofelis nebulosa (Clouded leopard)
Lineage: Eukaryota; Metazoa; Chordata; Mammalia; Carnivora; Felidae
Exons: 4
Source: RefSeq, a predicted model, not a curated record